This 392-nucleotide ribosomal RNA is filed under the name uncultured bacterium. Its description in RNAcentral is "partial 16S ribosomal RNA". It matches the Rfam family "Bacterial small subunit ribosomal RNA", at positions 523 to 918 of the family's 1533-position model. The record is from RNAcentral.
AUACGUAUGUCGCAAGCGUUAUCCGGAUUUAUUGGGCGUAAAGCGCGUCUAGGCGGCUUAGUAAGUCUGAUGUGAAAAUGCGGGGCUCAACCCCGUAUUGCGUUGGAAACUGCUAAACUAGAGUACUGGAGAGGUAGGCGGAACUACACGUGUAGAGGUGAAAUUCGUAGAUAUUUGUAGGAAUGCCGAUGGGGAAGCAAGACUACUGGACAGAUACUGACGCUAAAGCACGAAAGCGUAGGUAGCAAACAGGAUGAGAUGCCCUGGUAGUCCACGCCGUAAACGAUGAUUACUAGGUGUUGGGGGUCGAACCUCAGCGCCCAAGCUAACGCGAUAAGUAAUCCGCCCGGGGAGUACGUACGCAAGUGUGAAACUCAAAGGAAUUGACGGGG